Long non-coding RNA from Vigna unguiculata (cowpea), 1086 nucleotides. The record is from RefSeq and is a predicted model, not a curated record. NCBI's taxonomy places the organism in Eukaryota, Viridiplantae, Streptophyta, Magnoliopsida, Fabales, Fabaceae.
AAUGCCUCUUUAUUUUUUUUUCUCCUUUUUCAAAAUUUUUAAUUACUUGACCUGUUACCCUUUCCUCCUCUCCUUCUCUUUGUUUUACCCUAGUAGUAAGAAAAUAAACCCUUCUCGUGCAUGCCUCCACUAUGUCUCCACUAAGCCUCACCGUGCCUCCACCGUAGCUUCACCAUUUUUGCUUGAAGUUUAAGUAGCUUUGACACUACCAUAGCUACCGCAAUCGGAGUAUGUUACUGGUUUAUAGUCCCUACCUUGUUCCUUAAGGUUUAAAUGUUAAAUUGUGCUGUGGUACUGAUGUUUGCUUAUUGAUAGUAUAAAGGAAGGAUUUUAUCUUGGUCCUCCACCAAAAGACAAACUUCCCAAGAACUCUCUACAAGGAUCUGUGUUGGUGGGAUCAAUAUCAUAUGGUAAACUAUCAUUUGCUGGUCUACAGGAUGGUAAACGUCCAGAAAAGCAUCAUGUGUCACAUCGGGUUUCUUAUAUCAUUCCCCCAAAUAAGACAAGGACUGGGAAGAUAUCAAGUUUGGGGUGGACAAUCAAGUAGACUUCUAUGUUGUCUCAUUUGUCAAUGAUGCUAGAGUGGUGCACGAGUUAAAAGAGUAUCUCAGAAGUAUAUUUGAUAGCUGAUAACAGAAUAUUGGUGAUUAAAUAUGGAAGGAUUGUAGUUGUUGAGCCAGAAGCAGAAGUUUUCUUUGGUCCAAGACCAGGUGAACCAGUCGAGGCUGAAAUUAUUGGUCUCUCAGUGAGCACAUCAGGUUCAACUGUUUACAUCAAUGUCAAGAAAAGAGGACUCUUUGCAUAUCACUCACAUGGAUAUUAAAUGUUUUUUGAACUAUCAAGAUUGUAAAUAAUUUUAGUUUUUGUAAUCUUUAAGCAAUUAAGGUCCUGAAGUUGUGUUGUGAGGGUAUAGGAUCUCUCUAAAUGUAAAUAAAUAACAUAAAGAAUAGCAAGGGAGAAUAAGAAAAAACCAAUCCUAAGAAUCAACCUAUUUAAAUAGUUAAUUGUUUGCAAUAACAUUCAGGAACAAAAAAUGGGGUGAUACUAAACUUUGUUUCCAUACCUUUCCAACAUUUAUAUUAUUCU